CGUAUUCCGACCGAACAAUUACAAAGUUCAUUGGUAAUACAACUUCAAGUUGUCGGCGUUCCAAGUUCGGGGAAUGGGUUUCCCUUCAAGGGUCUCCAGUCGGUAGGCUCUCGGACCAUAAGUGUCUGCUACCUUGUAGGGCCCUUCCCAAUUUGGAGCCAACUUCCCUUGAUCCAGGGGCUUCGAGACCUCAGCCUUCCUCAGG
This 205-nucleotide long non-coding RNA is filed under the name Elaeis guineensis (African oil palm). RNAcentral's name for it is "long non-coding RNA (EGUI_LNC082903)". The record is from RNAcentral. Lineage: Eukaryota; Viridiplantae; Streptophyta; Magnoliopsida; Arecales; Arecaceae.